Molecule: ribosomal RNA, 254 nt
Filed under: Gemmatimonas sp.
Lineage: Bacteria; Pseudomonadati; Gemmatimonadota; Gemmatimonadia; Gemmatimonadales; Gemmatimonadaceae
Also listed under: 1 other name
Description: partial 16S ribosomal RNA
Rfam family: Bacterial small subunit ribosomal RNA
Source: RNAcentral
UACGGAGGGUGCGAGCGUUGUCCGGAAUCAUUGGGCGUAAAGGGCGCGUAGGUGGCCCGGUGAGUCUUUGGUGAAAGCGCGGGGCUCAACCCUGCGUCGGCCAGGGAUACUGCCGCGGCUCGAGCACUGUAGAGGCAGGCGGAAUUCCGGGUGUAGCGGUGGAAUGCGUAGAGAUCCGGAAGAACACCGGUGGCGAAGGCGGCCUGCUGGGCAGUAGCUGACACUGAGGCGCGACAGCGUGGGGAGCAAACAGG